GAUGAACGCUGGCGGCGUGCCUAAUACAUGCAAGUCGAGCGAACAGACGAGGAGCUUGCUCCUCUGAUGUUAGCGGCGGACGGGUGAGUAACACGUGGAUAACCUACCUAUAAGACUGGGAUAACUUCGGGAAACCGGCGCUAAUACCGGAUAACAUGUUGAACCGCAUGGUUCAACAGUGAAAGACGGUCUUGCUGUCACUUAUAGAUGGAUCCGCGCCGCAUUAGCUAGUUGGUAAGGUAACGGCUUACCAAGGCAACGAUGCGUAGCCGACCUGAGAGGGUGAUAGGCCACACUGGAGCUGAGACACGGUCCAGACUACUACGGGAGGCAGCAGUAGGGAAUCUUCCGCAAUGGGCGAAAGCCUGACGGAGCAACGCCGAGUGAGUGAAGAAGGUCUUCGGAUCGUAAAACUCUGUUAUUAGGGAAGAACAAAUGUGUAAGUAACUAUGCACGUCUUGACGGUACCUAAUCAGAAAGCCACGGCUAACUACGUG
Molecule: ribosomal RNA, 497 nt
Filed under: uncultured bacterium
Lineage: Bacteria
Description: partial 16S ribosomal RNA
Rfam family: Bacterial small subunit ribosomal RNA
Source: RNAcentral